Molecule: ribosomal RNA, 465 nt
Filed under: uncultured Klebsiella sp.
Lineage: Bacteria; Pseudomonadati; Pseudomonadota; Gammaproteobacteria; Enterobacterales; Enterobacteriaceae
Description: bacterial SSU rRNA
Rfam family: Bacterial small subunit ribosomal RNA
Source: RNAcentral
CCUACGGGGGGCUGCAGUGGGGAAUAUUGCACAAUGGGCGCAAGCCUGAUGCAGCCAUGCCGCGUGCGUGAAGAAGGCCUUCGGGUUGUAAAGCACUUUCAGCGGGGAGGAAGGCGGUGAGGUUAAUAACCUCAUCGAUUGACGUUACCCGCAGAAGAAGCACCGGCUAACUCCGUGCCAGCAGCCGCGGUAAUACGGAGGGUGCAAGCGUUAAUCGGAAUUACUGGGCGUAAAGCGCACGCAGGCGGUCUGUCAAGUCGGAUGUGAAAUCCCCGGGCUCAACCUGGGAACUGCAUUCGAAACUGGCAGGCUAGAGUCUUGUAGAGGGGGGUAGAAUUCCAGGUGUAGCGGUGAAAUGCGUAGAGAUCUGGAGGAAUACCGGUGGCGAAGGCGGCCCCCUGGACAAAGACUGACGCUCAGGUGCGAAAGCGUGGGGAGCAAACAGGAUUAGAUACCCGGGUAGUC